GAGAGAAGCAGAGAGAAAGAGAGGGAGAAAGACACUCUCUAGAGAUCUCCUCGCAAGAGUAGGAUUAAGAAAUGCAAAGGCUCUGCUAAUAAAAAGUGAGGUGAUUUACUGUUCAGUGCGGUGAAGUCAUCUAAUCUGUCCAGGACAGGUAGUACUGUCAUGUCACAUGAUGCUGUCACAGAGCACAGAGGAGUCACUCUGAAAUUUGACUGUGGCCCUGCCGGCAUAGAAUCUAGCCUCCCAGCCCAGCUCUUUCAAGGCAGCCUGUGUCUCCUGCCCGGAGAUUACGGUCUUUCUGAGGGAGGAUUUCUAAACUGACUUUAGCAGAAGGGACCUUUAAAACAUUUGAAACUUCCAGAUGAAGAGCUCCAUAAACAAAAAGAGAAGACAGAGGGACCUGUAGGGAGAUGUAAGAAAUGAACAGACACAGAUUAAAAGACUGCAGCCUGGAGGAGGCUCAUGGAAAAAACAUACACAGAUGCAUGAAUGAGACAGAAAAGUGCAGCAAAACCACGCAGAAAAAUGAACUGAAAUGGAAACUUAUAAUUCGGAAACAUAGGGUCAUAAGCAAUCAGAAGCAUGAGUCUAAGCGUUUUUAGCCCUAAUAAUACUUUAUUUUUUUAUCCAACUAGCAGAAUAAAUUCCUGCCUAAAUAAAAUUAUUCAGCAAAAUGUAGCUUGGGGGUAAAUUUUCAUUUGCUUGAAUUUCAUACCAAUAAAAAAUCUGCACUGUCUGCA
Molecule: long non-coding RNA, 737 nt
Organism: Orcinus orca (killer whale)
Lineage: Eukaryota; Metazoa; Chordata; Mammalia; Artiodactyla; Delphinidae
Exons: 2
Source: RefSeq, a predicted model, not a curated record